GGUGAGUCCUCUCUCUUGCUCUUGCUUGCUUGCACUGAUGAAGUAAGCUGCCACGUUGUGAGAUGCUCAACGAAGAGGCCCAUGAGGCAGGGCACCGAGGGAGGCUUCUGGCCAACAGCUCCUGGGGAACCAAGGCCUUAGGAAGUGAGUCCUGCCAACAAUAACGAGAGCCUUGAACUUUGAAACCACAGUACCUUGUUCCAGCGUGGAAAGCAGCGUGGCACUUCCCGGUGGUGAAAGCACCCCAGCUUGAAAGGGUGAAAACACCUUCUCCCAGAUAGUCUCCCUUUGUUUAGCCAGUGCUUUUGCCUUAAGGAAAUCAAAUGAAGUGUAUGAAAUAGCGGCUGACUUUUGUGACAAUUUUCCACCCAGUUUUGUGAUAGUAAUUUCGCUGCAUUCUUCAACUUAGAUGGCAAGUCCUCUUAGCAAGGCUGGCCUAAUUCUAUGUUUUCUAUGGCACCUAGUCACUAUGGCUGUGCAAGAGCCAUUAUUACCCAAAGUACCAUAAUAAUGGUCAUGUCCUCCUAUGACGUUAUUGUUUCCUAUCUGUCAGGACAUUAAUUGUCUUCUAACUUGCUCUAAAAUUGGUAGCAUGGCACACUGCCAAGACUAGAGAGAAGCAAGCUGCUGGUGAUAUAUUAAAAGGCUGUGUAAAAGGAAAAAAAAAAAAAAAAAA
RNAcentral lists this long non-coding RNA (676 nucleotides) under Homo sapiens (human). RNAcentral describes it as "uncharacterized LOC101928143 (LOC101928143)". Lineage: Eukaryota; Metazoa; Chordata; Mammalia; Primates; Hominidae. The record is from RNAcentral.